UGAGAGUCGGGAGGCGCUGAUCCGCCGGCGGCUUCGCACGGCCACCACGCACCGGCGGGGAGCCACUGGUGAGACCGGCCCGCGGGCCG
RNAcentral lists this non-coding RNA (89 nucleotides) under unclassified sequences. RNAcentral describes it as "c-di-GMP sequence". It matches the Rfam family "c-di-GMP-II-GAG riboswitch aptamer". The record is from Rfam by way of RNAcentral.